Myotis davidii is the source of this 1165-nucleotide long non-coding RNA. RefSeq lists it as uncharacterized. The record is from RefSeq and is a predicted model, not a curated record. The transcript is spliced from 2 exons. NCBI's taxonomy places the organism in Eukaryota, Metazoa, Chordata, Mammalia, Chiroptera, Vespertilionidae.
CUCUCUCCCUCUCCCUUCUUAUCUCUCUAAAAAUCAAUUAAAAAAUCUUUAAAGUAAAGUCAGAUGUCUUUUCCUAGCAGGGAUGAUGGUCAGCACUAUUAGCUCCUGCCGUCCUAGUCUAGUCACCAGCUCUCCAUCCGUGUGAGGGCCGCAUGCCGGGCGCUGGGUGCUCUGUGGCCAGUAGUGGCCAGCUGUGUGAGCUGGUGCAGGGCCCUGGGUGGACUGUGAACUGUAAGCACUGAUGACGUCAGCAGAGUUAGGUAAACACAGCUGGGACUGCCCCGUAGCCCGCGGGUGACCUGACCGCAGCUGUCAUUCACCCUCGGAGAGGCUCAGUCCGCCCUGCGGUGGACCUGCCACGGUGCCUUGCACUGGUUGUAUCUGUUUUCUCGCUCACAGGUUUGCAUGGAGCCAGUAGAAUCGAGAGCCUAAGGCGCCUCCAGGACAGGCUGGGUUCACGCUGGGGCCGAGGCUCUCCCGGGCGUGUGACCUUGGGCGGGAUCCAAGGUCAGAUUCCUCAGCUCGGGAAGGAGGGUAGCCCUGGACGAACAGUGUGCGGCUCAGGACAGAUGACCUGGCCCCGUCCCCGGCACGGUUAGUGGCAGCAGACUCCGAAAUCAAGCAGAAAAAUAAACUGAAUGACCUGGGACGGAGUUUCUUCUUCCGAAUGACUAAGCAUUCCAAUAGCCUCGCACGCGGCGGUUCCCAGGAAGAAGCUGUCCAUCACACACGCUGCCUCGUAACGGAGGAAAUCCAGGCUGUGAGCAAGCCGUCCGUGCGCUAGGCCAGCGGCUCUCCUGUGCCUAAUUGCCUGCACUUGGAGCCGCUGCGGUCAGGUCUUUUCCGCAAGUUCAUUCCCGCCAGCUGUCCCGGCUGUCGUCUGGCUGCCAGAGCCCGGCCUGGGACGCAUGCAGCCGCAUUAGAAAUCACCCGGGCACGCUGUCCUCCGCGUCUCCAAGGCACCUCGGUCACGCGGUGGGACAGUCCGGGGUGAGGGCCCGCUAGGCUUGAGCUCCUCCGACGCUGACGUGGUGCCCGCGUUUGCAUUUCACAGGCGUUGGGUUGCGUGUUUCCAAGCACUUGCUGUGUCCUCCGCUUUAACGGGCAGGCCUUUCUGCAGACCUUAAUCUCCAGUAUUUUUUUAAAAUAAGAAAACACUCUGUUA